RNAcentral lists this ribosomal RNA (468 nucleotides) under uncultured bacterium. Its description in RNAcentral is "partial 16S ribosomal RNA". It matches the Rfam family "Bacterial small subunit ribosomal RNA", at positions 28 to 507 of the family's 1533-position model. The record is from RNAcentral.
GACGAACGCUGGCGGCGUGCUUAACACAUGCAAGUCGAACGGAAAGGCCCUGCUUUUGUGGGGUGCUCGAGUGGCGAACGGGUGAGUAACACGUGAGUAACCUGCCCUUGACUUUGGGAUAACUUCAGGAAACUGUUGCUAAUACCGGAUAGGAGCUCCUGCUGCAUGGUGGGGUUUGGACAGUUUCGGCGGUUGGGGAUGGACUCGCGGCUUAUCAGCUUGUUGGUGGGGUAGUGGCUUACCCAGGCUUUGACGGAUAGCCGGCCUGAGAGGGUGACCGGCCACAUGGGGACUGAGAUACGGCCCAGACGCCUACGGGAGGCAGCAGUGGGGAAUAUUGCACAAUGGGCGGAAGCCUGAUGCAGCAACGCCGCGUGCGGGAUGACGGCCUUCGGGUUGUAAACCGCUUUCGCCUGUGACGAAGCGUGAGUGACGGUAAUGGGUAAAGAAGCACCGGCUAACUACGUG